This 633-nucleotide long non-coding RNA is filed under the name Papio anubis (olive baboon). RNAcentral's name for it is "lncRNA (ENSPANG00000042255.1)". Lineage: Eukaryota; Metazoa; Chordata; Mammalia; Primates; Cercopithecidae. The record is from RNAcentral.
CCCAAAUUUCAUUUUGAAUUGUAAUCCCUGUGUCUCAAGGGAGGAUCCUGGUGGGAGGUGAUUGAAUUAUGGGAGUGGUUUACCCUAUUCUGUUCUACUAAUAGUGAGUGAGUCUCAGGAGAUCUGAUGGUUUUAAAAGUGGCAGUUUUUCUUGUGCACGCUCUCUCUCUCACCUGCCGGCAUGUAAGAAGUGCCUUACAUCUUGAUUUUUUUUUCUUCCUUGGUGGACUUUUUAUAGCCUACGAGGAGCUGGUGGGCUUUGAAUUUUCAAGCUAUGCCCACAAUCAUUGUUAUCACUGCAAUAAGAGUUGCAAAAGUUGGACACAUGGAUGAGACAGAGAUCUGAUUAAUGAAAAUAACUUUAUUUUAGAGGGAAGUGGACUGUAAAUGGAAUUCUAAAAAUUCCAUCCUACCUUCCAGGAGAUGUGGGUUACCUCUAAACUUAAGCAAAGUAGUGUUGGAUAUUGUGAAGAAUAUCUCUCAACUGGAUUGUCUGAUGUUUUCCCUACGAUUAGACUGAGAUUACCAGUUUUGGGGAGAAAGAUCACAAAGACUCCACUACAGACCUGGAUGUGGUCGUGCCUGUGGAGGCAGAAGGGCUGUGGGGAGUUUUCAUUCAGCAGCCUAGUCUGA